AUGUGGCAGGAGGCCUAACACAUGCAAGUCGAGCGCGCCCUUCGGGGUGAGCGGCGGACGGGUUAGUAACGCGUGGGAACGUACCCAGAUCUACGGAAUAGCCUUUGGAAACGAAGAGUAAUACCGUAUACGCCCUUCGGGGGAAAGAUUUAUCGGAUUUGGAUCGGCCCGCGUUAGAUUAGAUAGUUGGUGGGGUAACGGCCUACCAAGUCUACGAUCUAUAGCUGGUUUUAGAGGAUGAUCAGCAACACUGGGACUGAGACACGGCCCAGACUCCUACGGGAGGCAGCAGUGGGGAAUCUUGGACAAUGGGCGCAAGCCUGAUCCAGCCAUGCCGCGUGAGUGAUGAAGGCCCUAGGGUCGUGAAGCUCUUUCGCCAGGGAUGAUAAUGACAGUACCUGGUAAAGAAACCCCGGCUAACUCCGUGCCAGCAGCCGCGGUAAUACGGAGGGGGUUAGCGUUGUUCGGAAUUACUGGGCGUAAAGCGCGCGUAGGCGGGUUGUUAAGUUAGAGGUGAAAUCCCGGGGCUCAACCCCGGAACUGCCUUUAAUACUGGCAACCUAGAGUUCGAGAGAGGUGAGUGGAAUUCCGAGUGUAGAGGUGAAAUUCGUAGAUAUUCGGAGGAACACCAGUGGCGAAGGCGGCUCACUGGCUCGAUACUGACGCUGAGGUGCGAAAGUGUGGGGAGCAAACAGGAUUAGAUACCCUGGUAGUCCACACCGUAAACGAUGAAUGCCAGUCGUCGGGUAGCAUGCUAUUCGGUGACACACCUAACGGAUUAAGCAUUCCGCCUGGGGAGUACGGUUGCAAGAUUAAAACUCAAA
Molecule: ribosomal RNA, 824 nt
Filed under: uncultured bacterium
Lineage: Bacteria
Description: bacterial SSU rRNA
Rfam family: Bacterial small subunit ribosomal RNA
Source: RNAcentral